AUUUGCCUUUAGGAGGGGGACAACAACUGGAAACGGUUGCUAAUACCCCAUAUGCUUUUGAGUGAAACGGAUUAUUCCGCCUAAAGAGAAGCUUGCGGCUGAUUAGCUUGUUGGUGAGGUAAUGGCUCACCAAGGCGACGAUCAGUAUCUGGUUUGAGAGGACGAUCAGACACACUGGAACUGAGACACGGUCCAGACUCCUACGGGAGGCAGCAGUAGGGAAUUUUCCGCAAUGGGCGAAAGCCUGACGGAGCAAUACCGCGUGAGGGAUGAAUGCCUAUGGGUUGUAAACCUCUUUUUUCAGGGAGGAAUAAAUGACGUGUACCUGAAGAAUAAGCAUCGGCUAACUCCGUGCCAGCAGCCGCGGUAAGACGGAGGAUGCAAGUGUUAUCCGGAAUCACUGGGCGUAAAGUGUCUGUAGGUGGUCAAAUAAGUCAACUGUUAAAUCUUGAGGCUUAACCUCAAAACCGCAGUCGAAACUAUUAGACUAGAGUAUAGUAGAGGUAAAGGGAAUUUCCAGUGGAGCGGUGAAAUGCGUAGAGAUUGGAAAGAACACCGAUGGCGAAGGCACUUUACUGGGCUAUUACUGACACUCAGAGACGAAAGCUAGGGUAGCAAAUGG
This 622-nucleotide ribosomal RNA is filed under the name uncultured bacterium. RNAcentral's name for it is "bacterial SSU rRNA". It matches the Rfam family "Bacterial small subunit ribosomal RNA", at positions 124 to 775 of the family's 1533-position model. The record is from RNAcentral.